CGAACGCUGGCGGCGUGCUUAACACAUGCAAGUCGAACGGAAAGGCCCUGCUUUUGUGGGGUGCUCGAGUGGCGAACGGGUGAGUAACACGUGAGUAACCUGCCCUUGACUUUGGGAUAACUUCAGGAAACUGGGGCUAAUACCGGAUAGGAGCUCCUGCUGCAUGGUGGGGGUUGGAAGGUUUCGGCGGUUGGGGAUGGACUCGCGGCUUAUCAGCUUGUUGGUGGGGUAGUGGCUUACCAAGGCUUUGACGGGUAGCCGGCCUGAGAGGGUGACCGGCCACAUUGGGACUGAGAUACGGCCCAGACUCCUACGGGAGGCAGCAGUGGGGAAUAUUGCACAAUGGGCGGAAGCCUGAUGCAGCAACGCCGCGUGCGGGAUGACGGCCUUCGGGUUGUAAACCGCUUUCGCCUGUGACGAAGCGUGAGUGACGGUAAUGGGUAAAGAAGCACCGGCUAACUACGUG
This 466-nucleotide ribosomal RNA is filed under the name uncultured bacterium. RNAcentral's name for it is "partial 16S ribosomal RNA". It matches the Rfam family "Bacterial small subunit ribosomal RNA", at positions 30 to 507 of the family's 1533-position model. The record is from RNAcentral.